GUGAGAAGGUCCAAGCUUACUUUCCCUUUGCCUUCCAACAUGAUGAACACACCCUUCAAAGUGCUAAUGCUGUUCCAGCUCAGCAGACACCUCGUCUCGGGAAAGCCAUUAGAAACCCCCAAAAUACUACAUUUUUCUCCUGAGCUUUGAACCCUGAACCCAGCAUUCUGAGAGUGGGAACCAGAAAUGUGCAUUUGAAAAGACUCCCCAGGCAAUUCUGAUGAGGAGCCAGUGAGCCUGCUGAACCAGUUAUUAAGCUGGAAGAGACAUGCUGGGGAGAAUGCUUUGGAGGAACAAGUAAGCACAGAACACAGAGAAUCAGGAAUGAAGCAUCCACACAGUCCAUCCAAGCAUACUGUGAAUCAAAACACAUGUCAUAGCUGGAACGAAAGCAUUAGGACCAUCUAACUGGAUUCCACUGGAAUGAGUCUCUGUGAAACCAUGCCGAAGUCUUUGUAAACAACCACCCUAAAGAAAGCUACAUGAAGAAUAGCCAAUAACAAAAGCACUGGAUUUAACUCAAUUUUGUGAAAAAACAAAAAAAACAAAUAUGAUGCACACACUCUAUCCUUUUGUGAACAAAAUGCCACCAAACAUUUGAAACUGGCCUAAGCAUACAUUGACAUGUUUGACAUGAAGCCCAGCCUUAUUGAUCAGCCUUUCCAAUACCCCCCGCCCCCCAUUCUUUAUUCCCAAUAGAUACAUCUUCUCACAGUUUCCAUGGCAAGAGGAAAAUAAAAGGCAACUGUUUUGAAAGCAACAACAGUAAACGAAGCAACAUCUCUGGCAAGCAGGCAAACCUUAAAGAGUAAAAGUUAUAAAUCCCCAUGUAGACAAUACCUUGUAGGUAUACCUUCCCCCAACCACGGGGAUGACUCUUAAUGGUGCUGACUAGGUAUAGACACCAACUUGGGACCAGUAAGUUAUUCUUAGAAGGUGCUAACUUUUGUAUUUUCUUUUAGGUUCUUGCUGCUAUGUUUCUCUUUCAAUUGACUUCCAGAAAUCAGACAGUGAAAUCAAUGGGGCUUUCCAGGCCACUGAAUUCAAAGUAAUCAGGGCAGGGUCAGAAUGCUGAUUGACUGUUUUCAACACACAGGGACCUGGAAUUUGGGUUCUAGCUCUAUCCCUCAGCACAGAGUCAGCAGACACAAUGCCCUAGAUGGUUGGAUUUUCUAGUGUCUGUGACAGGCAUCUUCAAAGCUGAUUCCUCUCCCUCUGAGAAAUCAAGGCCACCACCUUUAACUACUGACACAGUAGUGUACUUCCCGUACUGCAACCUCAGUCCCUUUUGUCACUUUUGCUUUGCAUUCAAGUGCCUUGGCCAGUGUUAACUGCAGCACUUUGAUUUCUCUUUCUAUAAAGACUAUCAAGUACCAAGUCAUUUGUUUCUGCAACCAUGUAACCCAAGGACAUAUUCUCCUGGAUGAAAUUCCAAGACCCCCCCCGCCACCAGAAGUCAGUGGAGAAUAGGCACAGAAAAGAUGAUGAAGGUCAUAGUUUCUAAUAAUUUGUUUUCUUUUUAAAAAAAAUUUUUAAUUUUUAUUUUUUUGAGACAGAAUCUCACUCCGUCACCCAGGCUGGGGUAUGGUGGCAUGAUCUCGGCUCACAGCAACCUCUGCCUUCCAGGUUUAAGUGAUUCUCCUGCCUCAGCCUCCUGAGUAGCUGGGAUUACAGCCGCAUGCCACCACGCCCAGCUAAUCGUUUGUAUUUUUAGUAGACACGGGGUUUCACCAUGUUGGCCAGACUGGUCUCGAACUCCUGACCUCAAGCGAUCUACCUGCCUUGGCCUUCCAGAGUGCUGGGAUUACAGGCAUGAGCCACCAAGCCCAACCAGUUUUCUUUCCUUUUUUUUUUUUUUUUUUUUUUUUUUUUCCUUUUUAAGGGAGGGGAUUCCCUCAGUGGGUUUACUUAGAGUGAAACGGUAUCUUGGCUUUGGACUUGCCCCUGCCUUCAUUCAUGUGGGUACUUUUUAUUUAACUUUUCAUUGUAGGUAGGCUCCCCUCUACCUAAAAAACCAAAGGGAAAAACCCCAAUUCUUUAAUUUACUCACAUCCUGUUACGCUUUCACAAGCUGUUCAUUUUCAUACCAAGCCUCAUCUUCUGCUGCCAACAUCCUAGUUUGAAGGAAAGGGGGAGACAGGUCAACUGGUAGUGGUCCUGUCCUCAAAGGGAGAGAACUCCUGGGUACCUCUUUCCAGCAGCCCUAGGCUAUUUCAAAAUGUCAGCAGGUCUAAUCCUAGAAGAAAACACCAUUUACUUCUCAACCUGCUGGGGCAUGGUGAGGUCUAAACAAUACAUUAACCAACAAAAUCUGCCAGUUCCUGAGAACUGCCAGAGAACUGCCUGAGAACUCAGAGAUAAACAGUAAGAGGUAUGGUCAACCUUCAGGGGAAUGAAGAGACUAUCUCAAUGCAGCAAAAAUAAAGGAAUUAAUGUGCUCUGCAGCUUUAGAAAGGAACUCUCCUUCCUGGGGGUGCCUCCGUGUCCCUGGCUCUAGGAGACUACCUAACCAGCAAGGUUGAUAGCAUGACCCUGGCUCCACUGAAAACUUGGGCCUAUAGACUGUCUUAUUCUAAAGGGUGCUUUUUAAUUCUAAUUUUUUUUUAAUUUUUAUUUAUUUUUUUUUGAGACAAGUUCUCACUCUGUUGCCCAGGAUGGAGUGCAGUGAUGCCAUUUAGGCUCACUGCACUUUUGACCUCUCAGGUUCAAACAACUCUCUCACCUCAGCCUCCUGAGUAGUGGGGACUACAGGCAUUCACCACCAUGCCCGGCUAAUCUUUUUUUUUUUUUUUUUUUUUUUGUAGAGACAGGUUUUUGCCAUGUUGCCCAAGCUGAUCUUGAACUCCUGGGCUCAAGCGAUCCACUUGCCUCAGCUGGGACUAUAGGUGUGAGCCACCGUGCCCACUCGAACCACUGGUCUUUUAAUGUUUUCAGCUCCAGCUGGCAAACCCAUUACCUGCUCUUCCUAGGCAGCAUCCCUUGGUCACUAUCCAGCCAUCUGUUACUGCCAAAGCAAAAGUCCAUGGCCCUCGAAGUGUGGGAACUCUGGCCAUCGGCUACUUAUCAUUUUGCCCUCUGAAAUCCUUAUAUUUCUUUCUGAAUUCACACACUCAGAAUUGGCAGUAUAUUCUUAAGCUAUGAAGUCCUCCACUAUAUGCCCAUCCCAAAAACCUAAGCGAGUAAGAUUAUUUAAUCUAGGAAAUGGUUAUUUACUCUAUAGAAAUCUGAUCUUCUCAUUGCCCAAUAACCAUGGAAUGCUGAAGAGUUGCCUCAGAUGGCAGGGAGCCUGCAUGCUAGCUCACACACUAUCCCUAAUAGCCAUUUAAUUUUGGGAAAAGACCCGUCUUUUCUCUGGACUUUAGUUUUCUCCUCUUUAGAAAUAAGAAGCUGGUUAGCCAAUCAGUCAUGUCUCUUUCAGGUAUAUGUUCUACGCUUUGCAACUGCAAAGUUGACAAUCUGAGAAUGUGUGCACGCCAAAGGGGCUUAAAAAAUAAUAUUAUCUAACACUUAAGCACUUGAUGUGUAUUAACUCAUUUAAUCCUUCAAUAACCAUAUGAGGUAGGUAUUAUAAUUAUUACCCCUAUAUUUUAGAUGAGAAAAGAAGAAAUAGAGAGAGGUUGAGUAACUUGACCCAUUAUCCAGUAGUUUUAAGGCUGGGGUUUGUAUUUUUAACCACCAUAUGCAGGAUAAUGGGCAGAUCUGAGGACUAAGCUUCCUUGACGUUUGCAUGCUUAGAAGGUUACAGAGGGAGUGUGAGAAUCACAGUUAAUCUGCAAAUCAAUGGUAUAUACCGAAAAUCAGGACAGGGGCCAGAGUGUCCUCACUGUUACCUGUUGGAUUCCCUUGGCAUUAUUUAGUGCACAACAUUACCAUAGGAAAAUCACAAGCACUUUUAUGGCAAUGGUGUAAAUUAGGAGGAUUCUGACAGUAAAGCCCAGAGUCAUUCCAAGAUAAAACGAUCAGUUUGGGAUCUCUUGGCCACCUACUGACCUGUCAGUGUAUUGAGGCAGUUUGGGGUAGGAAGUAUGUCAAAUGAUACUGGAGGAGGGAAUACAAGAGGCCGGGCAGAGAGUGACUUAUUUAUUAAUUAUCUAUUUAUUUAUUUUUGGUUGAGGCAGAGUCUCGCUAUGUUGCCUAGGCUGGUCUCGAACUCCCACCUUGGCUCCCAAAGUGCUGGGAUUACAGGUGUGAGCCACCAUGCCCAGCCCCAGAGAGUGACUCUUGACUAGUUUGGAGAAAUAAACUGACUUCAAGGGUCUUCAAAACACAGCCACUUGGAGGUCCUGACUGCCCUUUUCUGAUCUCCAGCAUGAGCCUCUGCAGAAGCAAGUGCCUUUCACUGAGUCUGACCCUAGCUGAGUGAGAUCUUUGCAGAGGAAAGGACAACAUGCUUAUUUUUUUUAAAUGGGCCCAUAAGAACCCCGAAACCAAACAAGAAAAUCAGGAAAGUUUCUUGUUAGUCUACUACAGACAGGUAGUGAUGAGAACUUGGAAUACUAUCUAGAUUCUGAGCUCAUUGCUCUAGGGCCCAGGGUCCCAAAUGGUGCCUCUUUUCAAUGCUUAUUUACCAUAGUUUCAUAGAAACAUGACCAAGUGUCAGUUAGUUCUUUACCCUUCGGGUUUUUUCCAUCAUUAAUCCUCUUGGCACAGGGUGGGGCUGAGCUGGGAACAAUAUCAUAUAACUCUAGUUGCAGCUGUCCUUAUGCAAACCAGCAUAUCCGCAAGUUACCAUGACCUUUUGGGGGAAACCAACAUAACAGUGCUGGUGGACACAGCUUCAGGCUGCUAGAGGUCACUGAUAUGUACCAUUGCAACUUGGAAGGAAUUCCAUAUAUUGAUACUUUCUUUGAUUCUAUCAACCAAACGGCUUUGUGGGGCACAUGCUAUAGUACUGAAUGAAAUACCUUUCUUUCCCUUGAGCCAAAAGCACAUAAUAAGCUAUAGAUUCUUUGCUGCUAUGCCAUUGAUUUACCUACUGUACUUUGUAACCCAGGAGGGCUAUGAAUCAUCCUUCCUAAUUUCAGCUUCACAAAACAGGUUGCUUUUAAUACAAUCUCUUCUUUAUCUAGAUUUAUUUGUUCUGAACCCUAACACAUUCUUAGGGCAUUAUUUCUUACUGAAGACAACUCUCCCUUAGUGUUUGUUUAAUGGUAAUUUUUUAUUCAAGUUCUUCCUGGGUGUCCGCUUGCCCUUUAAUUUUCUUUUUCACAGUGCUUUAUAUUCCUAGGAAUACCUGAGUCACAAGUGGUCAGAUUGCCAGCAUUCAGCAAUCCCAGGCAGGGGGCAGAUUUUAUUGCCUUUCUCUCUUCUCCUCCACGGGUUGCUCAACAGUGUUAACAUUCUGAUUUCUUUUAGGAGUGGAGCUCCAAGAUAAUCUCUUACCCUGCCCUUCUUACUCAUUAACUUUAAUUUCCAAAAAAUGCCGCCGAUACCAUUCAAACACUAGUUCAGGAAUUACCACGUGCUGGGCACUGUACUGGGUGCUGGAGAUACUGAGAAGAAGAAACAUGAUCUGUUCUCAGGAAGCUCACAAUAUGGUGAAUGUGAUAAUUAAGGUCAUGAUUAAACAAAGCAGGAAGUACUCCAAGAAAGGAUUUGGAAACUGCUCAGGAAAACAACUGGAUUCCUAAUAAUCCCUGAACAAUUCUUUUUUUUUUUCUUUUCCUGUGGACAUUAGCCUUUUAAUUUUUCCACAAGGAAUUCUGGGCCAAUUUAACUAAUAAAUAAUAACAGA
Molecule: long non-coding RNA, 5734 nt
Filed under: Homo sapiens (human)
Lineage: Eukaryota; Metazoa; Chordata; Mammalia; Primates; Hominidae
Description: HSALNT0174011
Source: RNAcentral